This 164-nucleotide ribosomal RNA is filed under the name uncultured bacterium. RNAcentral describes it as "partial 16S rRNA". It matches the Rfam family "Bacterial small subunit ribosomal RNA", at positions 355 to 511 of the family's 1533-position model. The record is from RNAcentral.
UAGGGAAUCUUCCACAAUGGGCGAAAGCCUGAUGGAGCAACGCCGCGUGUGUGAUGAAGGGUUUCGGCUCGUAAAACACUGUUGUAAGAGAAGAAUGACAUUGAGGGUAACUGUUCAAUGUGUGACGGUAUCUUACCAGAAAGGAACGGCUAAAUACGUGCCGG